UGGGGAAUAUUGGACAAUGGGCGCAAGCCUGAUCCAGCCAUGCCGCGUGAGUGAUGAAGGCCUUAGGGUUGUAAAGCUCUUUCGCCGACGAAGAUAAUGACGGUAGUCGGAGAAGAAGCCCCGGCUAACUUCGUGCCAGCAGCCGCGGUAAUACGAAGGGGGCUAGCGUUGUUCGGAAUCACUGGGCGUAAAGCGCACGUAGGCGGAUUGUUAAGUCAGGGGUGAAAGCCUGGAGCUCAACUCCAGAACUGCCCUUGAUACUGGCAAUCUCGAGUCCGGAAGAGGUAAGUGGAACUGCGAGUGUAGAGGUGAAAUUCGUAGAUAUUCGCAAGAACACCAGUGGCGAAGGCGGCUUACUGGUCCGGUACUGACGCUGAGGUGCGAAAGCGUGGGGAGCAAAACAGGAUUAGAUACCCUGGUAGUCCACGCCGUAAACGAUGGAGGCUAGCCGUUGGCGAGCAUGCUCGUCAGUAGCGCAGCUAACGCAUUAAGCCUCCCGCCUGGGGAGUACGGUCGCAAGAUUAAAAACUC
This 531-nucleotide ribosomal RNA is filed under the name uncultured bacterium. RNAcentral's name for it is "partial 16S ribosomal RNA". It matches the Rfam family "Bacterial small subunit ribosomal RNA", at positions 355 to 902 of the family's 1533-position model. The record is from RNAcentral.